GAUACUCUAAUGCCUACUGGUCAGAGCGUCCGCCUUGGAUGUGGGAUGUCGCGGGUUCGAACCCCAGGCGAGUCAAACCA
Non-coding RNA from Potamilus streckersoni, 80 nucleotides. Lineage: Eukaryota; Metazoa; Mollusca; Bivalvia; Unionida; Unionidae. The record is from the annotation of a GenBank genome assembly.